UUAAAUUGAAGAGUUUGAUCAUGGCUCAGAUUGAACGCUGGCGGCAGGCCUAACACAUGCAAGUCGAACGGUAACAGGAAGCAGCUUGCUGCUUUGCUGACGAGUGGCGGACGGGUGAGUAAUGUCUGGGAAACUGCCUGAUGGAGGGGGAUAACUACUGGAAACGGUGGCUAAUACCGCAUAACGUCGCAAGACCAAAGAGGGGGACCUUCGGGCCUCUUGCCAUCAGAUGUGCCCAGAUGGGAUUAGCUUGUUGGUGAGGUAACGGCUCACCAAGGCGACGAUCCCUAGCUGGUCUGAGAGGAUGACCAGCCACACUGGAACUGAGACACGGUCCAGACUCCUACGGGAGGCAGCAGUGGGGAAUAUUGCACAAUGGGCGCAAGCCUGAUGCAGCCAUGCCGCGUGUAUGAAGAAGGCCUUCGGGUUGUAAAGUACUUUCAGCGGGGAGGAAGGUGUUGUGGUUAAUAACCACAGCAAUUGACGUUACCCGCAGAAGAAGCACCGGCUAACUCCGUGCCAGCAGCCGCGGUAAUACGGAGGGUGCAAGCGUUAAUCGGAAUUACUGGGCGUAAAGCGCACGCAGGCGGUCUGUCAAGUCGGAUGUGAAAUCCCCGGGCUCAACCUGGGAACUGCAUUCGAAACUGGCAGGCUUGAGUCUUGUAGAGGGGGGUAGAAUUCCAGGUGUAGCGGUGAAAUGCGUAGAGAUCUGGAGGAAUACCGGUGGCGA
RNAcentral lists this ribosomal RNA (730 nucleotides) under Salmonella enterica subsp. enterica serovar Weslaco str. 247K. RNAcentral's name for it is "bacterial SSU rRNA". It matches the Rfam family "Bacterial small subunit ribosomal RNA", at positions 1 to 718 of the family's 1533-position model. Lineage: Bacteria; Pseudomonadati; Pseudomonadota; Gammaproteobacteria; Enterobacterales; Enterobacteriaceae. The record is from RNAcentral.